This 482-nucleotide ribosomal RNA is filed under the name uncultured bacterium. Its description in RNAcentral is "partial 16S ribosomal RNA". It matches the Rfam family "Bacterial small subunit ribosomal RNA", at positions 30 to 507 of the family's 1533-position model. The record is from RNAcentral.
AUUGAACGCUGGCGGCAUGCCUUACACAUGCAAGUCGAACGGUAACAGGUCUUCGGAUGCUGGCGAGUGGCGAACGGGUGAGUAAUACAUCGGAACGUGCCCGAUCGCGGGGGGUAACGGAGCGAAAGCUAUGCUAAUACCGCAUACGAUCUACGGAUGAAAGCAGGGGACCGCAAGGCCUUGCGCGGACGGAGCGGCCGAUGGCAGAUUAGGUAGUUGGUGGGAUAAAAGCUUACCAAGCCGACGAUCUGUAGCUGGUCUGAGAGGACGACCAGCGACACUGGGACUGAGACACGGCACAGACUCCUACGGGAGGCAGCAGUGGGGAAUUUUGGACAAUGGGCGAAAGCCUGAUCCAGCCAUGCCGCGUGCAGGAUGAAGGCCUUCGGGUUGUAAACUGCUUUUGUACGGAACGAAAAGACUCUUUCUUAUAAAGAGGGUCCAUGACGGUACCGGAAGAAUAAGCACCGGCUAACUACGUG